GAUGAAGAACGCAGCAAAAUGCGAUAAGUAAUGUGAAUUGCAGAAUUCAGUGAAUCAUCGAAUCUUUGAACGCACAUUGCGCCCGCCAGUAUUCUGGCGGGCAUGCCUGUUCGAGCGUCAUUUCAAUCCUCAAGCACAGCUUGGUGUUGGGACUCGCGUUAAUUCGCGUUCCCCAAAUUGAUUGGCGGUCACGUCGAGCUUCCAUAGCGUAGUAGUAAAACCCUCGUUACUGGUAAUCGUCGCGGCCACGCCGUUAAACCCCAACUUCUGAAUGUUGACCUCGGAUCAGGUAGGAAUACCCGCUGAACUUAAGCAUAUCAAUAAGCGGAGGA
RNAcentral lists this unclassified non-coding RNA (332 nucleotides) under soil metagenome. Its description in RNAcentral is "partial contains 5.8S ribosomal RNA, internal transcribed spacer 2, and large subunit ribosomal RNA". The stretch from base 1 to 120 matches the Rfam family "5.8S ribosomal RNA", at positions 35 to 154 of the family's 154-position model. The record is from RNAcentral.